RNAcentral lists this ribosomal RNA (392 nucleotides) under uncultured bacterium. RNAcentral describes it as "bacterial SSU rRNA". It matches the Rfam family "Bacterial small subunit ribosomal RNA", at positions 29 to 417 of the family's 1533-position model. The record is from RNAcentral.
AUUGAACGCUGGCGGCGUGCUUUACACAUGCAAGUCGAACGCGAAAGGGGGGCAACCCCUGAGUAGAGUGGCGAACGGGUGAGUAACACAUCGGAACGUGCCCAGUCGUGGGGGACAACCAGUCGAAAGAUUGGCUAAUACCGCAUACGCUGGAGACAGGAAAGCGGGGGACUCGGGAAACCGGGCCUCGCGCGAUUGGAGCGGCCGAUGUCCGAUUAGCUAGUUGGUGGGGUAAGAGCCCACCAAGGCGACGAUCGGUAGCUGGUCUGAGAGGAUGAUCAGCCACACUGGGACUGAGACACGGCCCAGACUCCUACGGGAGGCAGCAGUGGGGAAUUUUGGACAAUGGGCGCAAGCCUGAUCCAGCCAUGCCGCGUGCGGGAAGAAGGCCU